UACGUAGGGUGCGAGCGUUGUCCGGAAUUAUUGGGCGUAAAGAGCUUGUAGGCGGUUUGUCGCGUCUGCUGUGAAAUUUCGGGGCUCAACCCCGAACUUGCAGUGGGUACGGGCAGACUAGAGUGUGGUAGGGGAGACUGGAAUUCCUGGUGUAGCGGUGAAAUGCGUAGAUAUCGAGAGGAACACCUGCGGCGAAGGCGGGUUGCUGGGCUGAUACUGACGCUGAGGCGCGAAAGCGUGGGGAGCAAACAGG
RNAcentral lists this ribosomal RNA (253 nucleotides) under uncultured bacterium. Its description in RNAcentral is "partial 16S ribosomal RNA". It matches the Rfam family "Bacterial small subunit ribosomal RNA", at positions 524 to 776 of the family's 1533-position model. The record is from RNAcentral.